GCGCCCGUAGCUCAGGUGGACAGAGCAGGAGCCUUCUAAGCUCUUGGCCGGGGGUUCGAAUCCUCCCGGGCGCG
RNAcentral lists this transfer RNA (74 nucleotides) under hydrocarbon metagenome. RNAcentral's name for it is "tRNA-Arg". It matches the Rfam family "tRNA". From Rfam's summary of the family: Transfer RNA (tRNA) molecules are approximately 80 nucleotides in length. The record is from RNAcentral.